GAAGUGCGAUAAGCAAUGCGAAUUGCAGAACCGUGAGUCAUCAGAUUUUUGAACGCAACUGGCGCUAGUUGGCUCUCCAGCUAGCAUGCUUGUUUCAGUGUCUCUUUAUCUCAUCACCCAAAUCUUAAUGCGAUAGAUACCCUUCUAUUGCUAAGCAUGAGAGCACUCUGCACUCUGCGAGUGACUUCGUUUCGAGGUCACACUCAUUGCAGCAGUCACAUUGUUUCAAUGUGAACUCAAUGAGAGUAGAGGCAGUGCAGUCUAACUGCGAGUGUUCAGACACCCAAACUUAUUUGUAUCUGAAAUCAAGCAGGAUUACCCGCUGAACUUAA
Molecule: unclassified non-coding RNA, 332 nt
Filed under: uncultured fungus
Lineage: Eukaryota; Fungi
Description: sequence contains ITS1
Rfam family: 5.8S ribosomal RNA (bases 1-103)
Source: RNAcentral